AGACAACAUCAUGGCUGGAUCCACGACUUGCGAAAAAGGCUAAACCUCCAGAAGAGUGCAAAGAAAAUGAUGUGUUCACGCUUACAUUGGUUGAUGUUCC
RNAcentral lists this small RNA (100 nucleotides) under Pan troglodytes (chimpanzee). Its description in RNAcentral is "processed transcript". Lineage: Eukaryota; Metazoa; Chordata; Mammalia; Primates; Hominidae. The record is from RNAcentral.